CAUCACAGGGGGGUAGGAUGAUGUGGAUGUAACUGGUUAUGUAAAAGUAUAGGACACAUUUGGAGUGAGCCAGAUGGGAUGAUGGCUGUCAUUUUAGAGACUAACGCGCUUCUUGUCUGCGUCUGGAAAUUUUGCUUAUGCAUGACCUUGUGAACUCGCCUGCGGCGUGACCUCGAACAUCCCCUCUUACGGCUCCCCUGAACACCCCUCCACAUCAUUGUGCUCAUUUGUGCAGGCUAUUACCCCAGCAGGAAGUGACAUCAAUGGGUCCAAACUAAAAAUAUGUCGCAGGACGGACUGCCUAGGAUGUCCAGGACCGGUGUUUGUACAGGAGGAUGGCUCGCACCGGCUCCACAAAGUGAUGCUCAUUGAAGGAUGCAGAAGAGCGCCACACAGGCGAGACAGACAGACGUACUGGAGGCUGAACACAGAUUGUCUCCCUGCGGCACCUAUAGUUCUGGAUAGCAUCAAACCAGCCCUCUGUACCACAGCUCCUGGCUAUCUUCACCCACUAUGGCUCCUUCAUGAUGGCCCCCUAAUCUCUGCCAGUGUGGUUCCAUGGGAAUAAUCCUGUGUUCGAGGUAUCUGGAAGAGGCAGGGGAUCAAAAAUCCAUCACCUAUGCAAAAACAGAGCUUUCCAUAUAGUCCCUUUUAUUAAAGUGGAAUAUGGCUGAGGAUAUACCACGUUUGAGGGGCCAUGAAUAAUACUAGAAGCAUAUAGGGAAAAGAAGACGCCACUCCUCUCCAGCUUCCUACCACAGAGCUGUACUCAGCCUGCACAGUUAGGCCGUCGAGCCAUUAAUGAGUCCCAGCACUGAUAAUGAAGCCACACAGGUGGUCUGAGCCAGUGUGGCACAGGAGCUGGAGCACAGAAGGAAGGUAGAUUAGGAUAAUUACCUGGCCACGGGGGAACGAUGUGUAAGAUAUGUCACUUCCUAGGAUUGACGAAGGAGCAAGUGCGAUAUAAUGAGGUGCAGACACCCUUUUCUCAGAAAGAGAAAAAA
This is a long non-coding RNA of Etheostoma spectabile (orangethroat darter), 1004 nucleotides long. RefSeq lists it as uncharacterized. The record is from RefSeq and is a predicted model, not a curated record. NCBI's taxonomy places the organism in Eukaryota, Metazoa, Chordata, Actinopteri, Perciformes, Percidae. The transcript is spliced from 6 exons.